This is a long non-coding RNA of Tupaia belangeri chinensis (Chinese tree shrew), 916 nucleotides long. RefSeq lists it as uncharacterized. NCBI's taxonomy places the organism in Eukaryota, Metazoa, Chordata, Mammalia, Scandentia, Tupaiidae. The record is from RefSeq and is a predicted model, not a curated record. The transcript has 3 exons.
CCAGAGCUUGAGAGUGGCCUAGUUGGGAUUUAGACCCAGCCGGCCUUCCUCCCUGCCCAGGGCAGUCAGCCUCAGUACACAUCUCGCCUGCCUGGCAUGAACCCGGGUGUGAGGCCGGGGCUCGGAAGACCUGGAACCCAGACCCAGAUGCUCUACCUUCCUGUGCUCGGUCUCCUCAUCUGAGCUGGGAUGAAAAGACUCCCACACACUUCCUGCCAGCCUCACUUGGGGAAAUUAGAGGGAUUCCAGUAGGCCAGCUCUGUGGGAGAGCAGUUUGGGGUUCAUAGCAAAACUGAGCAGCUGGUUCAGAGAUUUCCCACGUACCUGAUCCCCCUGUUCGCAUUUUCACAGGUCUGAGGAAGUGACACAGCUCCAUGGAGGCUGGAACAGGAGUGACAGCAGCCCCGAGUUCUGGUGAGCUGUCAUCUCUUCCCACUUCAUUUACCAAGAACAGAGGCCAUGCUCCCAGGAGUCCAGAGCUCCCAGAGUUACCACGAGAGCUUUUGAAAGGAAGAGCCUGCAGCCUGGAGCUAAAGUUGGUGGCUGUGCCCUGCCAGCCAAGGGCAGGUUCUCACAGGACGAGGCUCAUGUCCUUCCCUGCACCACAACCUAAAAAUGUCCAUGAGGGAGGGUGCUGGCUCGGUGAGUUACGAUCCAUCUGCACAAUGGAAAAUUACACAGCUGUUAAAAUAAUGUGGCCGUUAUGUAGCCACUGAUUCGGAAUCAUCCCCAAAUUAUGUUGUUUGGCGAAAAAGCCCAGUACCAAGCAGUAUACACGGCACUUCGUGAGAAGGAUGCAUUCAAGCCUGUAUAUGGCAGAAGUCUCUCUGGAGGAAUACAGAAAAGCUGGCAUCAGAGGAGCCUUUGGAGAAGGGAAUUGGGGGAGGAGGGGUGGGGGGAUUCGAUUCUGACGAUA